GACGAACGCUGGCGGCGUGCUUAACACAUGCAAGUCGAACGGUAAGGCCCUUCGGGGUACACGAGUGGCGAACGGGUGAGUAACACGUGGGUGAUCUGCCCUGCACUUCGGGAUAAGCCUGGGAAACUGGGUCUAAUACCGGAUAGGACCACUGCCUGCAUGGGUGGCGGUGGAAAGCUUUUGCGGUGUGGGAUGGGCCCGCGGCCUAGCAGCUUGUUGGUGGGGUGAUGGCCUACCAAGGCGACGACGGGUAGCCGGCCUGGGAGGGUGACCGGCCACACUGGGACUGAGAUACGGCCCAGACUCCUACGGGAGGCAGCAGUGGGGAAUAUUGCACAAUGGGCGCAAGCCUGAUGCAGCGACGCCGCGUGAGGGAUGACGGCCUUCGGGUUGUAAACCUCUUUCAGCACCGACGAAGCGCAAGUGACGGUAGGUGCAGAAGAAGGACCGGCCAACUACGUGCCAGCAGCCGCCGUAA
This 478-nucleotide ribosomal RNA is filed under the name uncultured bacterium. RNAcentral describes it as "partial 16S ribosomal RNA". It matches the Rfam family "Bacterial small subunit ribosomal RNA", at positions 28 to 523 of the family's 1533-position model. The record is from RNAcentral.